RNAcentral lists this ribosomal RNA (704 nucleotides) under Salmonella enterica subsp. enterica serovar Kentucky. RNAcentral describes it as "bacterial LSU rRNA". It matches the Rfam family "Bacterial large subunit ribosomal RNA", at positions 434 to 1136 of the family's 2925-position model. The record is from RNAcentral. Lineage: Bacteria; Pseudomonadati; Pseudomonadota; Gammaproteobacteria; Enterobacterales; Enterobacteriaceae.
CUGUCUGAAUAUGGGGGGACCAUCCUCCAAGGCUAAAUACUCCUGACUGACCGAUAGUGAACCAGUACCGUGAGGGAAAGGCGAAAAGAACCCCGGCGAGGGGAGUGAAAAAGAACCUGAAACCGUGUACGUACAAGCAGUGGGAGCACAGGUUUACCUGUGUGACUGCGUACCUUUUGUAUAAUGGGUCAGCGACUUAUAUUCUGUAGCAAGGUUAACCGAAUAGGGGAGCCGUAGGGAAACCGAGUCUUAACCGGGCGUUAAGUUGCAGGGUAUAGACCCGAAACCCGGUGAUCUAGCCAUGGGCAGGUUGAAGGUUGGGUAACACUAACUGGAGGACCGAACCGACUAAUGUUGAAAAAUUAGCGGAUGACCUGUGGCUGGGGGUGAAAGGCCAAUCAAACCGGGAGAUAGCUGGUUCUCCCCGAAAGCUAUUUAGGUAGCGCCUCGUGAACUCAUCUCCGGGGGUAGAGCACUGUUUCGGCUAGGGGGCCAUCCCGGCUUACCAACCCGAUGCAAACUGCGAAUACCGGAGAAUGUUAUCACGGGAGACACACGGCGGGUGCUAACGUCCGUCGUGAAGAGGGAAACAACCCAGACCGCCAGCUAAGGUCCCAAAGUCAUGGUUAAGUGGGAAACGAUGUGGGAAGGCCCAGACAGCCAGGAUGUUGGCUUAGAAGCAGCCAUCAUUUAAAGAAAGCGUA